UACGUAGGGGGCGAGCGUUGUCCGGAUUUAUUGGGCGUAAAGAGCGUGUAGGCGGCUUUACAGGUCCGUUGUGAAAACUCGAGGCUCAACCUCGAGACGCCGGUGGAAACCGUAAAGCUAGAGUCCGGAAGAGGAGAGUGGAAUUCCUGGUGUAGCGGUGAAAUGCGCAGAUAUCAGGAGGAACACCUAUUGCGAAGGCAGCUCGCUGGGACGUAACUGACGCUGAGACGCGAAAGCGUGGGGAGCAAACAGG
Molecule: ribosomal RNA, 253 nt
Filed under: uncultured bacterium
Lineage: Bacteria
Description: partial 16S ribosomal RNA
Rfam family: Bacterial small subunit ribosomal RNA
Source: RNAcentral